RNAcentral lists this long non-coding RNA (1164 nucleotides) under Salmo salar (Atlantic salmon). Its description in RNAcentral is "lncRNA (ENSSSAG00000089983.1, ENSSSAG00075012681.1)". The record is from RNAcentral. Lineage: Eukaryota; Metazoa; Chordata; Actinopteri; Salmoniformes; Salmonidae.
CAGGGAGUUUUUGGAGUUUGAGUGUUUGGUGUGGAGGGUUCUGUCCUAACUAACUUUCUUGAUUCUGUCCUUGGUCUUUUCUUUUAAUUUUAUUUUCUAUGGUGGAGGGUUAAUGCAUUAUUUGUUUUAGCGGUAUCCACAGGUUUUUUUCAAAGUUAGGGUGGAAGAGGACAGAGUUCGUUUACUGGGGUUUGGAAGGUGUGGUGUGUGCGAUGGCUUCUCAGCCUAGCACGGAGGAGACGCUGUCGAUGCGGCAUGGAUUCAGGUGUGUUCCUGAGAAUGGAGUAAAAGUGGAGGAGGUUCUGCUUGCAGUCGGUGAACAGGCUGUGACAAUGAAAAGGCAGCAGACAAACCAACAGCAUGUUUUAGCAGGGAAGUUUGGUGAAGUGACCUUAUUUUUACAGUCUUGGCCCAUUGCUGCAACUCCCGUACAGACUCAGGAGAAGCGAAGGUCGAGAGCCAUGCGCCCUCCCGAAAACACGACCCUGCCAAGCCGCACUGCUUCUUGACACACUGCCUGCUUAACCCGGAAGCCAGACGCACCAAUGUGUCAGAGGAAACACCGUACAACUGGUGACCGCUGUCAGCUUGCAAGUACCUGGCCCACCACAAGGAGUCGCUAGAGAUCGAUGGGACAAGGACAUCCCGGCCGGCCAAACCCUCCCCUAACCCGGAGGACGAUGGACCAAUUGUGUGCCGCCUCAUGGAUCUCCCAGUCACGGCCAGCUGUGACACAGCCCGGAAUCAAACCCGGGUCUGUAGUGAUGCCUCAAGCACUGCGAUGCAGUGCCAGACUGCUGCACCACUCAGGAGACAAUGGGCUAAAAUAUAGGGUAACUGCUCUUCUUGUCAGCAAGAACACUACUGUUAUUCCCCAAACGUAUCUUAUUAUUCUACUUUUUCCCAAUUUUGCAAGUGUAAUCACAUAUUUGAAAUCUAAAAUGCCUACUUGUGUCUUUGAAAAUGAAUGAAAUGAGGCUACAGUUGAAGUCGGAAGUUUACAUACACCUUAGACAAAUACAUUUAAACUGUUUUUCACAAUUCCUGACAUUUAAUAGUACAAAUUACCUGUCUUAGGUCAGUUAGGAUAACCACUUUAUAUUAAGAAUGUGAAAUGUCAGAAUAAUGGUAGAGAGAAUGAUUUAUGUCAGCUUUUAUUUCUUU